This 301-nucleotide ribosomal RNA is filed under the name uncultured bacterium. Its description in RNAcentral is "partial 16S ribosomal RNA". It matches the Rfam family "Bacterial small subunit ribosomal RNA", at positions 509 to 809 of the family's 1533-position model. The record is from RNAcentral.
CAGUAGCCGCGGGAAUACGAAGGUCCCGAGCGUUGUUCUGAAUCACUGGGCGUAAAGGGAGCGUAGGCGGCGUGGUAAGUCAGAUGUGAAAUCCCGGGGCUCAACCCCGGAACUGCAUCCGAUACUGCCAUGCUAGAGGAUUGGAGAGGUAGCUGGAAUUCUUGGUGUAGCAGUGAAAUGCGUGGAGAUCAAGAGGAACACUCGUGGCGAAAGCGAGCUACUGGACAAUAACUGACGCUGAGGCUCGAAGGCCAGGGUAGCGAAAGGGAUUAGAUACCCCCGUAGUCCCUGUCUCUUAUAA